Molecule: transfer RNA, 72 nt
Filed under: Sphaerodactylus townsendi
Lineage: Eukaryota; Metazoa; Chordata; Lepidosauria; Squamata; Sphaerodactylidae
Description: tRNA-Ala
Rfam family: tRNA (bases 9-63)
About the family: Transfer RNA (tRNA) molecules are approximately 80 nucleotides in length. Their secondary structure includes four short double-helical elements and three loops (D, anti-codon, and T loops). Further hydrogen bonds mediate the characteristic L-shaped molecular structure. tRNAs have two regions of fundamental functional importance: the anti-codon, which is responsible for specific mRNA codon recognition, and the 3' end, to which the tRNAs corresponding amino acid is attached (by aminoacyl-tRNA synthetases). tRNAs cope with the degeneracy of the genetic code in two manners: having more than one tRNA (with a specific anti-codon) for a particular amino acid; and 'wobble' base-pairing, i.e. permitting non-standard base-pairing at the 3rd anti-codon position.
Source: RNAcentral
GGCCCAUUGCUCAGUGACAGAGCAUCUGUUUUGCAUACAGAAGGUCCCGGGUUCAAUUCCCCAGCACCUCCA